CCGGUGCUGCUUAACACCAGCCCAUUGUCCUGUCCACCUCAACGCAGCCAGGAUCCAAUAAUUAAUUAACUGUAUUUCAUCGAACGCUUCCAUUUACCGCGUGUGCACCAACCACGGUUAUAUACAUCCAUCCAACGUGGAAUUAUUAUCGCGUAAAUCGUGGAACGCGUGCUUCCUUUUAAGCGUCUCGGCUCGAAAUCGAAAUGCUUAUUAUAAGAGAACUCUUGGUUCAGUUCCUAUUAGGGGUUGGUAAACGGUGGUUUCUGAUUUAUCGACUCAUUUCGUGGCCGUGGUUUCUGUUGCUUCGCCGAUUGCUUGUUUACGAGAUUUUAUCAAGAUUUUGCGUGAGUAGAAGUUACUUUGGUGUCAGUGAGAUUCUUCGAUACGAAAUCAAGGAUGUUCCUUUUUCGAAAGGUUGAUAGUUCAGGUUAGAAGUUUAUUCUCAACAAUCGAUCAAUCUUAAAACAGAACCUCUUUCGAUGUCCACCUUUACCUAACCUCAACAACGAAAGAAAAAAGAUCAGUUUCAUCUCUCGAACGACUCGAUCAAUCGUGAGGACGAUCAAUUUCAAGUAUUCACCAAUCGAAAUCAAUCGAAAGCUCGAGAGGAGCGGGUAGAGCAAGAAACAGACGCCACCGGAAAUCAUCAUUCUAACCGGGUACGUUUAAUCGAAGGGAAAACCGGAAUACGCCGCGGGCUGACUGACAACAGGAUCAACCUGCUCUGUGGACGUAUCGAAGCCAGGAUUCCAUUCCGGCUCGAUUUUUCAACACCGACACGGCGACCGCAAGUAUCCCCACUCGUCUCCACGACCGACUCUUUUCUUCUCGAUCGCUGAUUAAUUACACGUAUUGUUAGACGAGCGUUCUUCUUCUUCGAUCGUGUAAAUGUGGCGCCGUUCUAGUCGAGUGGGAAUGGGAAACGUCGGAAACGUUGGUAAUACUGGUCUACAUUCGCGCUGCGAACGUCAGAGUGCACCGCAAAGUCCAUAUCCCUAAGUUUCGAGGAUACGACACGAGGAUAUCGUGGUCGGCACGUACACCAGCUGGUCCAACUUCUUGUCCAGCGUCGACAGCUGCAACGAAAACGAAAAAUCGGAAUUGGAAUCAGUGAGAGCAAAAACCCUGACUUCUGGAGGGGAUAUGUCUGUGGAUCAUUCGUGGCUCGAAGAGGAAGAGUGCAAGAGAGAAAGAGAGAGAAA
Apis mellifera (honey bee) is the source of this 1202-nucleotide long non-coding RNA. RefSeq lists it as uncharacterized. The transcript has 3 exons. Lineage: Eukaryota; Metazoa; Arthropoda; Insecta; Hymenoptera; Apidae. The record is from RefSeq and is a predicted model, not a curated record.